Molecule: ribosomal RNA, 529 nt
Filed under: uncultured bacterium
Lineage: Bacteria
Description: bacterial SSU rRNA
Rfam family: Bacterial small subunit ribosomal RNA
Source: RNAcentral
UAGAGUUUGAUUCUGGCUCAGAUUGAACGCUGGCGGUAUGCUUAACACAUGCAAGUCGAACGGAAACGAUACUAGCUUGCUAGUAGGCGUCGAGUGGCGGACGGGUGAGUAACGCGUAGGAAUCUGCCUGAUAGUGGGGGAUAGCCCGAAGAAAUUCGGAUUAAUACCGCAUAAUCUAUUCGUAGUAAAGUGGGGGACUUUCGAGCCUCACGCUAUCAGAUGAGCCUGCGUAAGAUUAGCUUGUUGGUAGGGUAAAAGCCUACCAAGGCGACGAUCUUUAGCUGGUCUGAGAGGAUGAUCAGCCACAUCGGGACUGAGACACGGCCCGAACUCCUACGGGAGGCAGCAGUGGGGAAUAUUGGACAAUGGGGGCAACCCUGAUCCAGCAAUACCGCGUGUGUGAAGAAGGCCUGAGGGUUGUAAAGCACUUUCAAUUGUGAAGAAAAGUUAGCGGUUAAUAACCGUUAGCCUUGACGUUAACUUUAGAAGAAGCACCGGCUAACUCCGUGCCAGCCGCCGCGGUAAUUCA